This 918-nucleotide ribosomal RNA is filed under the name uncultured bacterium. Its description in RNAcentral is "bacterial SSU rRNA". It matches the Rfam family "Bacterial small subunit ribosomal RNA", at positions 574 to 1501 of the family's 1533-position model. The record is from RNAcentral.
GGCGGAUGAUUAAGUCAGGGGUGAAAGUUUGCAGCUCAACUGUAAAAUUGCCUUUGAUACUGGUCAUCUUGAGUUGUAUUGAAGUAGGCGGAAUAUGUAGUGUAGCGGUGAAAUGCAUAGAUAUUACAUAGAACACCAAUUGCGAAGGCAGCUUACUAAGUACUAACUGACGCUGAUGGACGAAAGCGUGGGUAGCGAACAGGAUUAGAUACCCUGGUAGUCCACGCCGUAAACGAUGGAUACUAGCUGUUCGGGACCUUGAGUUCUGAGCGGCUAAGCGAAAGUGAUAAGUAUCCCACCUGGGGAGUACGUUCGCAAGAAUGAAACUCAAAGGAAUUGACGGGGGCCCGCACAAGCGGUGGAGCAUGUGGUUUAAUUCGAUGAUACGCGAGGAACCUUACCAGGGCUUAAAUGUAGUCUGACAGCUUUAGAGAUAGAGUUUUCUUCGGACAGAUUACAAGGUGCUGCAUGGUUGUCGUCAGCUCGUGCCGUGAGGUGUCAGGUUAAGUCCUAUAACGAGCGCAACCCCUGUCGUUAGUUGCCAGCAUGUCAUGAUGGGGACUCUAACGAGACUGCCGGUGCAAACCGCGAGGAAGGUGGGGAUGACGUCAAAUCAUCACGGCCCUUACGUCCAGGGCUACACACGUGCUACAAUGGUGAGUACAGAUGGUUGCUGCUUGGUGACAAGUUUGCUAAUCUAUAAAACUCAUCUCAGUUCGGAUUGGAGUCUGAAACUCGACUCCAUGAAGUUGGAAUCGCUAGUAAUCGCAUAUCAGCCAUGAUGCGGUGAAUACGUUCCCGGGCCUUGUACACACCGCCCGUCAAGCCAUGGAAGUUGGGAGUGCCUAAAGUCGGAAACCAUAUAGGAUCCGCCUAGGGUAAAACCGAUAACUAGGGCUAAGUCGUAACAAGGUAACC